RNAcentral lists this ribosomal RNA (468 nucleotides) under uncultured bacterium. RNAcentral's name for it is "partial 16S ribosomal RNA". It matches the Rfam family "Bacterial small subunit ribosomal RNA", at positions 28 to 507 of the family's 1533-position model. The record is from RNAcentral.
GACGAACGCUGGCGGCGUGCCUAAUACAUGCAAGUCGAACGGACAGGCCCUGCUCUUGUGCCGUGCUCGUGUGCCGAACGCGUGAGUAUCACGCGUGUAACCUGCCCUUGACUUUGUGAUAACUUCUGGAAACUCGGGCUCAUACCGCAUAUGAUCUCCUGCUGCAUGGUGUUGGUUGGUAAGUUUCGGCGGUUGGGGCUGGACUCGCGGCUUAUCCGCUUGUUGGUGGGGUAGUGGCUUACCAAGGCUUUGACGGGUAGCCGGCCUGAGAGGGUGACCGGGCACAUGGGGACUGAGGGAGGGACCAGACGCCUACGGGAGGCAGCGGGGGAGAGUAUUGCGGAGUAGGCGGAAGCGUGAGACAGAGACGCCGCGUGCGGGAUAACGGGCUUCGGGUGAUAAACCGAUUUGGAAGGUGAUGAAGAGGGAGUGACGGUAAUGGGUAAGGAAGCAACGGCUAACUACGUG